RNAcentral lists this ribosomal RNA (301 nucleotides) under uncultured bacterium. RNAcentral describes it as "partial 16S ribosomal RNA". It matches the Rfam family "Bacterial small subunit ribosomal RNA", at positions 509 to 808 of the family's 1533-position model. The record is from RNAcentral.
CAGCCGCCGCGGGAACACGUAGGUGGCAAGCGUUGUCCGGAAUUAUUGGGCGUAAAGGGCUCGCAGGCGGUUUCUUAAGUCUGAUGUGAAAGCCCCCGGCUCAACCGGGGAGGGUCAUUGGAAACUGGGAAACUUGAGUGCAGAAGAGGAGAGUGGAAUUCCACGUGUAGCGGUGAAAUGCGUAGAGAUGUGGAGGAACACCAGUGGCGAAGGCGGCUCUCUGGUCUGUAACUGACGCUGAGGAGCGAAAGCGUGGGGAGCGAACAGGAUUAGAUACCCUGUAGUCCCUGUCUCUUAUACA